RNAcentral lists this unclassified non-coding RNA (343 nucleotides) under soil metagenome. Its description in RNAcentral is "partial contains 5.8S ribosomal RNA, internal transcribed spacer 2, and large subunit ribosomal RNA". The stretch from base 1 to 120 matches the Rfam family "5.8S ribosomal RNA", at positions 35 to 154 of the family's 154-position model. The record is from RNAcentral.
GAUGAAGAACGCAGCGAAAUGCGAUAAGUAAUGUGAAUUGCAGAAUUCAGUGAAUCAUCGAAUCUUUGAACGCACAUUGCGCCCGCCAGCAUUCUGGCGGGCAUGCCUGUUCGAGCGUCAUUUCAACCCUCGAGCCCCCCCGGGGGCCUCGGUGUUGGGGGACGGCACACCAGCCGCCCCCGAAAUGCAGUGGCGACCCCGCCGCAGCCUCCCCUGCGUAGUAGCACACACCUCGCACCGGAGCGCGGAGGCGGUCACGCCGUAAAACGCCCAACUUUCUUAGAGUUGACCUCGGAUCUGGUAGGAAUACCCGCUGAACUUAAGCAUAUCAAUAAGCGGAGGA